AGUGAACGCUGGCGGUAGGCCUAACACAUGCAAGUCGAACGGCAGCACAGUAAGAGCUUGCUCUUACGGGUGGCGAGUGGCGGACGGGUGAGGAAUACAUCGGAAUCUACUUUUUCGUGGGGGAUAACGUAGGGAAACUUACGCUAAUACCGCAUACGACCUACGGGUGAAAGCAGGGGAUCUUCGGACCUUGCGCGAUUGAAAGAGCCGAUGUCGGAUUAGCUAGUUGGCGGGGUAAAGGCCCACCAAGGCGACGAUCCGUAGCUGGUCUGAGAGGAUGAUCCGCCACACUGGAACUGAGACACGGUCCAGACUCCUACGGGAGGCAGCAGUGGGGAAUAUUGGACAAUGGGCGCAAGCCUGAUCCAGCCAUACCGCGUGGGUGAAGAAGGCCUUCGGGUUGUAAAGCCCUUUUGUUGGGAAAGAAAAGCAGCAGGUUAAUACCCCGCUGUUCUGACGGUACCCAAAGAAUAGGCACCGGCUAACUUCGUG
RNAcentral lists this ribosomal RNA (492 nucleotides) under uncultured bacterium. RNAcentral describes it as "partial 16S ribosomal RNA". It matches the Rfam family "Bacterial small subunit ribosomal RNA", at positions 29 to 507 of the family's 1533-position model. The record is from RNAcentral.